GGUUAUGUAGCUCAGUGGUAGAGUGCUUGCUUAGUAUGCACGAGGUUCUGGGUUUGAUUCCCAGGACUG
This 69-nucleotide transfer RNA is filed under the name Marmota marmota marmota (Alpine marmot). It matches the Rfam family "tRNA". From Rfam's summary of the family: Transfer RNA (tRNA) molecules are approximately 80 nucleotides in length. Their secondary structure includes four short double-helical elements and three loops (D, anti-codon, and T loops). RNAcentral also lists the same sequence under 2 other names. Lineage: Eukaryota; Metazoa; Chordata; Mammalia; Rodentia; Sciuridae. The record is from Rfam by way of RNAcentral.